This 356-nucleotide long non-coding RNA is filed under the name Mytilus galloprovincialis (Mediterranean mussel). The record is from RNAcentral. Lineage: Eukaryota; Metazoa; Mollusca; Bivalvia; Mytilida; Mytilidae.
UACUACCUCACCCUGGGAACAUGAAUAUCUCCAUACUACCUCACCCUGGGAACAUGAAUAUCUCCAUACUACCUCACCCUGGGAACAUGAAUAUCUCCUCGGAAUAUAUGCUAUAUCCAUAAUACCUCAUCCUGGGAACAUGAAUAUAUCUUCUCCAGCAAUAUAUGUUAUAUCCAUACUCCCUCACCCUGGGAACAUGAAUAUCUCCUCCAGCAAUCCCAACCUACUUAGAAAUGAGAUUUUUGGCCAACAGUAUCAUAACCUCUUCAUCAUAUUCAAUGAGAUUGAUGGAUCUUUGCCACCUCUAUUACAGUAACUCAGGAGUACUAAACUUUGAGGUUUCCUUUCAGCUGGUA